AAGGAGAAAAAACCCUUAAAUGCUCACUCAUUUUUGUCCGAUGAGAAAGCUUCUUUCGUCACGCAAUCCCACUCGUGAAAUCACUUGAUUUUCCAAAUUCUCUAUCACCAAAAUUGUGGGGUCAUAUAUAAACUUGUGCACAUGAUCAGGGAGCCUCUGUAUUUUCAAUUAUCUCAUUAUCGUAAUUCUUAAUUUAUAGGAAACAUUUCCCAUCAUUUUCGUCUCAUAUUCUUCAUCAUGUGUCUACAACAAACAAAUGGGGUUAAAAGGCGUUUAUGAAUUUCUAGCAGAUUACGGAUGAAAAAAUCUAUUCCUAAAUCGUUGUAUAAGAUUCUUAUCAUCUUAUAUCCCUGUGACUGUGAAAACCUGCCAACACGCCGAUUUCUGCUUUGAAUAGAAUGUCUCAACCAAAAAAAUCCAUGGUCGCGUGCAUUCUCCAAAUUUGUGACAAAUAUC
RNAcentral lists this long non-coding RNA (456 nucleotides) under Erythranthe guttata (spotted monkey flower). Its description in RNAcentral is "long non-coding RNA (EGUT_LNC002442)". Lineage: Eukaryota; Viridiplantae; Streptophyta; Magnoliopsida; Lamiales; Phrymaceae. The record is from RNAcentral.